AAGGAUGGGCCCUUGCUGCAGAGCUGGGAUCUACCACAGAACACUAAUGGCCUGGUGAGUUGAUGCUCUGGGGCUGAACCCUGAUAGCCUGCAGGAAAGUAUCAUUGCUUCAUAGGGAGAUGGUCAGAGGAGGCCUGGUUUGCCCCAUUGCUUUUGUACGCUGUUCCAUAUAGAAGAGGUCAUGCUGGUUGUCUCAUGUGCUGAGAAGCAUGGACAUGUUCUUCGAAGCCAUAAGAUCUCAGCCUUGCAGCAUUGCUGUUGCAUUCAUCCUUUUGCCUUUGAGAAGACAGCGUUGUGGUCCCCCAUCUGGUAUUUCUUCCAAGGGCUACUUUGAUGCAAAGGGAGGCAAAUUCACCCUUGCAAAUGCUGACUGCCAGCCCCUGAGGGCCCACACGGAGCUGUGGAGAACCUGCAUGGCUAAGGGAGACCUGCAGCCAGAGCUGAGCAAAGUCCAGGUGAAGAAUCACAUCUUGCCUAGCACAGAGCUCGAAGCUGGGCAGCAAAGUGCUCAAACAGUAAGUGCUCCCUGAUGCUUCAGUGGCCGGGUAUCACUUGUCUUCUCCAAACCCGGUGUGCCAUGUGUCAUCCCCACUUGAGGCUUCCUUGGCUGGCAGAAAUGCAGCAGAGCAUCUCUCUGCUGGUGUGUGGUGCUCCAGGGCUCAAGCAUGGGCUGAUAUCAUGGAUCCUGAGCCAUCGACAGGGCAUGAAAAUACACCUGCCCUUAAUCUAAGCAAUGUCUUGAUGUCUGUGGCAUCAUCAGCCAAGGGCUUGUGAGACCUUUGUGAUGGAGAGCAUGGCUCAAGCUAACCCCAUGUGGGGCAGAGGUGCUGUUGCAGGAGGGGACAGGCAGGUCUCUCCCAAACGUGGCUCAUGUGAGCAGCUGCAUUACACCAAGCUUCCUGUAGAAAGAGACCGUUAAGACUAGCAUGAAUAAACCACAUUGCUAUGGCAGCAGACGAAACGGCUCAUGUGCACCCACAGCAUUUUCUAGGUGGGAAAACUGAAGCUUAUUGAGGUUUUUCUUACUGAACAAUUUCUGAACCUCUGACACCGCUUUGUGUAGCAUCUUUUCCCCUCAGAAGCUAAAAGUAGCUCUGUGGGGUUGUACAGGGCCAUCCUGCUCUCCUCCCACAGGGACAGAGCCCUGAAAGGACGGUGAUGGGCUUGCGCUGGAGCUGGCCUUCAGCGAUAGGAAUUCACCGUGUCUGGGGGGCAGAUGAGCUGCUGCACUGUUCAGGGAUGUGUGUUGUCCCUUUGUGAGCCAGUGUUUUGCUUUUCUCCCCAGCGCAAGAAGGAGGUUGAAAUCAUUCUGAAAAGGCACCUGAAAUGUUCUACAGGUGAUUGAGAGGGGUCAGUGUCCACAUGCUGCCACGUGUUGGUCUGUGUUAGUGUGUACUGGGGAUGCAGGCAGUUACAGACAGGAGAGUUGGCCAAGAAUUACAUUUAAUUAUUUUUUUUAAGGAUUUUUUAAUCAUAUACAAAAGGAAAUUAAAAAAAAAAAAACACUUUUUCAUUGCUGUGAAUGAAUGACAAUGUGCUUCAUGGUUUCCAUGAAUUAUCCGUCCUGACCCAGCAACAUACUCAGGUACAGACACACCGGCUCAGACUCCUGUGGAGAUGAGGAGGUGCAGUUUGGUUUUAUUAUAUAAAAGGGUUUUUU
Molecule: long non-coding RNA, 1660 nt
Organism: Pezoporus flaviventris
Lineage: Eukaryota; Metazoa; Chordata; Aves; Psittaciformes; Psittacidae
Exons: 2
Source: RefSeq, a predicted model, not a curated record